AUACGUAGGUGGCAAGCGUUGUCCGGAAUUACUGGGUGUAAAGGGAGUGUAGGCGGGAUCGCAAGUCAGAAGUGAAAAUUAUGGGCUCAACUCAUAACCUGCUUUUGAAACUGCGAUUCUUGAGUGAAGUAGAGGCAAGCGGAAUUCCUAGUGUAGCGGUGAAAUGCGUAGAUAUUAGGAGGAACACCAGUGGCGAAGGCGGCUUGCUGGGCUUUUACUGACGCUGAGGCUCGAAAGCGUGGGGAGC
This 247-nucleotide ribosomal RNA is filed under the name uncultured bacterium. RNAcentral's name for it is "partial 16S ribosomal RNA". It matches the Rfam family "Bacterial small subunit ribosomal RNA", at positions 523 to 769 of the family's 1533-position model. The record is from RNAcentral.